This 305-nucleotide ribosomal RNA is filed under the name uncultured bacterium. RNAcentral's name for it is "bacterial SSU rRNA". It matches the Rfam family "Bacterial small subunit ribosomal RNA", at positions 335 to 638 of the family's 1533-position model. The record is from RNAcentral.
UCACCUACGGGAGGCAGCAGUGAGGAAUAUUGGUCAAUGACCGGAAGGCUGAACCAGCCAAGUCGCGUGAGGGACGACUGCCCUAUGGGUUGUAAACUUCUUUUGUCGGGGAACAAAGGGCGCCACGUGUGGCGUUGUGAGUGUACCCGAAGAAAAAGCAUCGGCUAACUCCGUGCCAGCAGCCGCGGUAAUACGGAGGAUGCGAGCGUUAUCCGGAUUUAUUGGGUUUAAAGGGUGCGUAGGCGGUCCGGAAAGGCAGCGGUAAAAGCCCGGGGCUCAACCCCGGCGAGCCGUUGAAACUGUCG